Molecule: long non-coding RNA, 824 nt
Filed under: Brassica napus (rape)
Lineage: Eukaryota; Viridiplantae; Streptophyta; Magnoliopsida; Brassicales; Brassicaceae
Description: long non-coding RNA (BNAP_LNC009379)
Source: RNAcentral
UGAAAGAGUCAGGAAAUCGGAAAACUGAAUUGGACAAGUCGUCCAUGGAAGAGCCUAAGGACUAAUGGCCAAGGCAUUGAUGUUGGAAUGUGAAGUACGGAGACUUACAUUCGAAUGGAACGUCUGUUGAGAAUGCUUAGACGAAUCCUAAGAUUUUCAAGGUAAUGGACAAGCUGGUCCGGGAAAAUGGAACUGGAAGUUUCAUAAAAAGAUUUUGGAAAAAUCUGAGUAAGACUUACACUUAGCAAGUGGUGAGUGUAGGAAAGUCUGGAUAUAGGAACUGGACAAAAGGAUUGUCAAAGUUGACUAAGCUUGAUCGUCUUGGUAGGUUGGUGCUGUUUGAGAGUUGAGAUUAUUGGAACAAGAGAUUGGAAGUCAGGUGUAGAUGCCAAAGACUUGUUAGGUGAUCAAGAAACUACUUGGAGGUACAAGAUGCUAUAGAUGAUGAGUUGUCGUCAGAGUUUCAAAAGUAGUAAAUGAUCGGUUCAUAUCAUGAGCGUCUAGAUCAGACAAGGUACUUAGGGGCUGUGACGCUUACUAAGGCUUACUAGAUUUUGGAUGACGGCUCGAUGAUGUGGGACGAUCAUUUGAGUUUGGAUUAUUAAUUCCUUUCAUGCGAGAGUCUAUAUCAGUUUAGAUGCUUAUGGCUGAGAUGUUCAUUAAGACUUAACUGGAUUGUAAAACGGCUGCUCAAUUACUUGGAAUGAUAAUGCUAGACCAGACUAAGUGUCUGAUGAACUGGACAAGUGGGAAUGCUGAAACAUUAGCGUUAAAGUUGAUAAUAUGUCCUUAGAAACCGAGUGGGUUUUCUAAGGCAUAACUGU